Culex quinquefasciatus (southern house mosquito) is the source of this 955-nucleotide long non-coding RNA. RefSeq lists it as uncharacterized. The transcript has 4 exons. The record is from RefSeq and is a predicted model, not a curated record. NCBI's taxonomy places the organism in Eukaryota, Metazoa, Arthropoda, Insecta, Diptera, Culicidae.
AUUCAUGCUAUCCCAUGUUGCAUGUUCGAGUGUAGACCUACGGAAACCCUUGCCGCGAGGAGAGGUGAGUGAACCAGUACACGAGCCACCUACGACAUAAUUCCUCGGGCGGCCCAGGUCAACUCGAAGUUACCCCAGGCACCCCCAGUGCAGGACACAUUGGGGGUAGAAAGCGGAUAGAAUAAGCAAAAGAUCAAAGCAGGCCGCGAGGCAUACUUUUAAAGUGGUAUCUGCAAAGAAAUUUGUAUUAACAAAAGGGUCAAAAAUAAAAAGGCGAUACUAAUUAAUGCUUCCUGCGACCUUGGAGGCCUCUCGGUUGGACAUAUAGCCGUGGACACCAUGCUUGGUAGCAAUCCUCGUCAGUCGGUGUGGUAUUGAUCACAGCUGGUGUUAUCCUGCGGCUGCGUAGCAAGUCAGAUGCUCGCUCAUUCGGUUUGAAACGAGAAGAACAAAAGAGAACACAAGAAAACAUUAGAUUCUGAUAGAAUUUGCUCCAUAUACCCAGUUGGCGACACCCCUUUAGCGCUCCGAGCGCCACCACAGUCAAGUUACAGGGUUUCCAUGAUACCAACGGAGGUGGUGGCUGUUUGUGGCGGUGAGUGAGUUGCAACAAACGAUUUUCGAGAGGCGUAAACAGGGACUCUGCCGGGAACCGAUGGUCCGUUAAUGUGAAGUCUGCACCAGCAAACUGGUUGCGCCAAUUCAUCGGAUUCGCGUCGUUGAAAUGUUGAUGUUCGAUAUAAAGGACCAGGAGUUGAUAGCGAAAAUAGCGAUUGACAAGGCCGCCACAGCAAUUCCCACCCCAUGUGUCGUGUCCCAAACAACUUGAAUGCAACCAGCCCCGUUCCUGGCAGAGUACCUCAGGCCCAAAUAAAAGAGAAGUCGCACAAAGUUCAGUUAUAAUAAAUAAUACGCACAAAGUUCAGAAUAAUAAAAAAAAUAGAUUUUUAUUUUA